GAUGAACGCUGGCGGCGUGCCUAAUACAUGCAAGUCGAGCGAACAGACGAGGAGCUUGCUCCUCUGACGUUAGCGGCGGACGGGUGAGUAACACGUGGAUAACCUACCUAUAAGACUGGGAUAACUUCGGGAAACCGGAGCUAAUACCGGAUAAUAUAUUGAACCGCAUGGUUCAAUAGUGAAAGACGGUUUUGCUGUCACUUAUAGAUGGAUCCGCGCCGCAUUAGCUAGUUGGUAAGGUAACGGCUUACCAAGGCAACGAUGCGUAGCCGACCUGAGAGGGUGGUCGGCCAGACUGGAACUGAGACACGGUCCAGACUCCUACGGGAGGCAGCAGUAGGGAAUCUUCCGCAAUGGGCGAAAGCCUGACGGUGCAACGCCGCGUGAGUGAUGAAGGUCUUCGGAUCGUAAAACUCUGUUAUUAGGGAAGAACAAAUGUGUAAGUAACUAUGCACGUCUUGACGGUACCUAAUCAGAAAGCCACGGCUAACUACGUG
Molecule: ribosomal RNA, 497 nt
Filed under: uncultured bacterium
Lineage: Bacteria
Description: partial 16S ribosomal RNA
Rfam family: Bacterial small subunit ribosomal RNA
Source: RNAcentral